This is a long non-coding RNA of Helianthus annuus (common sunflower), 3771 nucleotides long. RefSeq lists it as uncharacterized. The transcript has 4 exons. NCBI's taxonomy places the organism in Eukaryota, Viridiplantae, Streptophyta, Magnoliopsida, Asterales, Asteraceae. The record is from RefSeq and is a predicted model, not a curated record.
GGAUCCUAUAUAAUCCACAAAAUUAGGCGCUCUACCUAGAAACCCUAAUUUUUAUCUCAUUGUUCUGGCCGUUCACUCCAUUUGGCAAGGAACACGACCACCAAGAAUCGCAUCAACAAUCAACCUAAUAUGGUGUUAUUCAUUGAUUCUUGCUACCAAUUUCUAAUUCUCGAUCCUAGACCGAUUACUUCUCUGUUUGAUUCUUCAAAAUGCUUUAAUCAUCCAAGAAGUCUGCCUUUAAGGGUUCUGAUGUUAUCAUCUCCAAUUGAGGCUAUCGGAAGUUGACGAGUCACCGGUGUCUAUUGUAGUUGUUUUGCUUUGUUGCUUGCAUUACUCAUUGCACUAGGUAUUUCGUUACAGUGUAAUCUAAGUAUUUGGGAUUCCAAUCCGGUUCGGAGGAGGUGUCAAACCGAAUGGCAGAGAAUACUAUGUCGAGUCUGGUCAACUGGGUUGCGUACAGUCACUGAGUCCAUAAUUGAAUUACUGGAAUCUCAUUCCAUAAUUUCAAUGUUUGUUUGUUGGAUGAUGAUUUAAUGAGUUUUAAAGGCUGUAAUGGUAAAUUUCAAUGCGUCUCAGCGAAAUUGGGCAAAGAUGAGAUUGUCCGCAUCUUGGCAGGGCAACCCGGAUGGUCAUGUGGUUUCACAUGGCAACCGUAAGUAUGCAGCCAUGGCGGAAUUUAUCUACUCUGUUUGAUUAUUUACAAAUCUGAGCCUCAUAAUCGUUUUAAUGGAUAGUGACUGACUGACCUUUUCACUUACAAUUUGCAUUGCGACAGACAGAAGUUUAAAAUUUUGAAUGGCUUUAUAAAAAAUCACCAUUUUGAAUGGCUAAGCAUGCAGCCUUUAAAAUUUUUCGCCAUUUUCAAUGGCUAAACAUGUAGACUCGGAAAAGUUUCGCCAUUACAAAUGGCUUUUUGCUGGAUUUCGCCGUUCCAAAUGGCAUUUUGCAGGUUUUCGCCAUUCCAACUUGCUCUUUGCAGCUUUUCAUCCUUUUCAAGAUGAUUGGUUCUUACACUUUCUGAUUAUUCCCUAACACAACCUACUACCUUUAAAAAUUCGCCAUUUGUAUUGGCGCUGGAAUUAUUUGUGCAACAUUUUUGAAACUAGCAUUAGUUGUGAUCAUCAUUUCAAAAACAACACUAUAACAUCAAAAAACUCGGUGCUUAUCCCAUCUUCAAUGAAGAUUUUAGAGAACUCCCUGGGACUUUCAAUGCGGAGCGAGGCGAUAGAGAUAUUUGAGCAAGUCAGUUUUGAUUUAUUGACUAAAAAGCUAUAACCUGUAUAUUUUUCUUUCUACCAUAACUGAUGUACAAAAAACGGGCUGAGCCGUUCGCGAGACUGGCUUGUGAAAAGUCUUCUAUUCUAUUAUAUAUAAUAAAUGAAUAGAUUUGGGCUGAGGUGUCAUUACCUUAGAGCCUCUUAGAUGCCUUUUUGGCGAGAAAAUAAGAUGGAUCCUUUUCUUGCUCGCAGAUCCCGUUUUUAGUUACCCGACCCAAUUAGUUCGGAUCCUAUUUAAUCCACAAAAUUAGGCGCUCUACCCAAUUAGUCCAUAAUUUCAAUUUUUGUCUGUUGGAUGAUGAUUUGAUGAGUUUUAAAGGCUGUGAUGAUUAAUUUCAAUGCGUUUGAGUGAAAUUGGGCAAAGAUGAGAUUGUCCGCAUCUUGGCAGGGCAACCCGGAUAGUCAUAUGGUUUCACAUGGCAACCGUAAGUAUGCAGCCAUGGCGGAUUUAUCCACUCUGUUUGAUUUUUUACGAAUCUGAGCCUCAUAAUCGUUUUAUAACAUCGACACAUUCACUAUUGUUUAGAAACGCAAACCAUAUUUUGAGACAAACUGACUCUGUCUUGGUCAACGUAAGUCACAACCAACUGGAAAACGCGGCAAACACUGGAUUGAAUAAUCUUUUACUGCUGCUAAUCCAUAAAUAACUAACAUGGUACUUUUUGUACCUUCUGUCUUAAGUUUAUAAGUCAAAGAGACCCCAUAUCGCUUCUUCUUCAGCCUACUAUAUGUAGAGGUGGCAAAAGGGGUGGGUUUGGCGGAUUUAGAACAUGUCAAAACGGGUAAUUCUUUUAAUACGGGUCUAAAUGGGCAGGGUUUUUUUCGGGCUGAUGUGCGCAUUUUAUAUAUUAUGAAUAAUUAACGCAUUAAAGAGUUAUAAAAGGCAUACUGGUUAACACAAUGAUCAUUUUUUUAUUAAAUGAUUCUGAUUGGAUGUUUUCGGACCUGUUUGGACCUUCAUCUAUGUUUAAGAUACAAAUUAAAAUACAAAUUAAAUCCAAUUUCUAUAAUCUUGAAAAAAUUUAGCAAGUGGGCUGUUGUGUAGUAAAAAAAACACAUGAGUAUGUUGUAACAAGGUAUUGAGUUGCUAGCUAGAUCCUCAGUACUAUUUCUUUGUUCUCACACUUCUCUGGAGAACAUGCUUCAUCUGUAGCCGAAACAAUUCAGUGGUUCGCAUAGUUUAUCUGUGUUUACAGGUAUAAUCAUUCUCAUUUUCUAUUAGCUUGAAUCAGCUUAAAAAACAUGUGGGGUUAUUUAUGUGAACCUAAAUAUAUGUAUAUCUAUGUAGGUUUGGGUGUUCACACAGAUCUAGAAACCAGUUUUCAUGCUAAAGUGAUGUUCUUUUCACUUCUACCAUUUUAAUCAUCCUAUUUCUGAGUGAUUGGAUUAUCAUAUUCUCCUCAAGAACACAAGAUCGUCAUACUUGUGUCACUUUCUGUUUCAAUAAUCUAUAUAAUCACAUACUUCUUCUAUCAGGUAUACAUUUGUUUCAUUUACAAAAAAUGUUGCUAGAAGCGUAUAGGAUGUAGAUGCAUUACUUGAUUCAAUGAUGGUGUUUUGGAAACCUUUUUGUAGUGUUUUGAGCAACGGAUAUAGGAAAAGAGAUGACUAGAGUCCCGUUAUAGACCCUCAAUGAAAAAAAUCAUUGGUCCGCCAUUGGUACCGCAUAGUAGCAUAGUAUCAACACCAAAGUUUAUUUUAUAUAUUUAAACACUCUUGAGUUGUUCAUCUACAUGCAUCAUCUGGCAUGCAUCAUCUGGCUAUGAUUAUAUAAUACCAUUUAAAGAUGGAAUAUCUUGCCUAAACAGUUGUUGGAUUAAGAUUUAAUAAAUAAGUUUUGAAAUAUUUAUUAUAGUUUUUGGGGAACAAAUGUGAAAUAUUAAUGGGAUGAGAUUUCGAUUUUAUUAGUGUGCAUAUGAUACACAUCCAGGUGUACAUUAUUUUUUGAAGAUGAAAAGGGUACUUUUUUUCACAUGAUAUAUUUUUACGAUAUCAGUUUAUUCAGUAUUCCUUUCGUAUUGCAAAGAAAAUACAACGUUUCACAUGAUACUUAACUCUUAGGAAGACAACCUUUAGAGGAUCCGAGGUAACAGUUGCACGAAUGGCGUAUUUUUUUUUUUUUAUUUUGAUCACUUUGUUUUAAGUAGAUGUGCUCUUUAAGUGGGAGUUAAUGUUUUUUUUCUAUAGACAUUGUUGUCGAAUUAGAUAUCCCAUCAGUGAAGAAAAGUUCAAGUGAACCUAUAUUCAAGCGACCACGCCCGUCUCCAAACACCAUCGUCAUUACCGAAAUUUAAGAAGGGACUCGAUUUACUAAGAGAAUUGUUUUGGCAACUUGAAGGAUAUGCAUCUUUAAAGGGACUCGACUAUCUUUAAAUUGUAUUUCCACUGUCAUUAAUUCAUGCAACAUAACACUGUGUUUGUAUUUUUUUUAUUUGAACACUUAAUAUUUAUCUAAUUAAUUUUUCCCAGCCCGGGAAGCAAUCCCGGGUGAUAA